UUUCCGUAGGUGAACCUGCGGAAGGAUCAUAAUGGAAUUAAACCUGAUGGGUUGUUGCUGGUUCUUCCAGGGAGCAUGUGCACACUUGUCAUCUUUAUAUCUCCACCUGUGCACCUUUUGUAGAUCUGAAUAGCUUUCUGAAUGCUUAGCAUUUGGGUUUGAAGAUUGACUUUUCUGUCUCUCUUCACUUUCAGGUCUAUGUUUCUCNAUAUACCCCUAUGUAUGUUAUCGAAUGUAAUAAAUGGGCCUUUGUGCCUAUAAAUUUAUACAACUUUCAGCAACGGAUCUCUUGGUUCUCGCAUCGAUGAAGAACGCAGCGAAAUGCGAUAAGUAAUGUGAAUUGCAGAAUUCAGUGAAUCAUCGAAUCUUUGAACGCACCUUGCGCUCCUUGGUAUUCCGAGGAGCAUGCCUGUUUGAGUGUCAUUAAUAUAUCAACCUCUUCAAAUUUGUUUGUCGAGUGUUGGAUGUGGGGGGUAUUUUUUUUGCUGGUCUCUCUUUGAGGUCAGCUCCCCUAAAAUAUAUUAGCGGGACAAUUUGUUGACCGUUCAUUGGUGUGAUAACUAUCUACGCUAUUGACGUGAGGCAGGUUCAGCUUCUAACAGUCCAUUGACUUGGACAAAUCUUUCAUUAAUGUGACCUCAAAUCAGGUAGGACUACCCGCUGAACUUAAGCAUAUCAAUAAGCGGAGGAAAAGAAACUAACAAGGAUUCCCCUAGUAACUGCGAGUGAAGCGGGAAAAGCUCAAAUUUAAAAUCUGGCAGCCUUUGGUUGUCAAA
RNAcentral lists this ribosomal RNA (776 nucleotides) under uncultured Cortinarius. Its description in RNAcentral is "eukaryotic LSU rRNA". The stretch from base 270 to 423 matches the Rfam family "5.8S ribosomal RNA". Lineage: Eukaryota; Fungi; Basidiomycota; Agaricomycetes; Agaricales; Cortinariaceae. The record is from RNAcentral.